GACGAACGCUGGCGGCGUGCUUAACACAUGCAAGUCGAACGGAAAGGCCCUGCUUUUGUGGGGUGCUCGAGUGGCGAACGGGUGAGUAACACGUGAGUAACCUGCCCUUGACUUUGGGAUAACUUCAGGAAACUGGGGCUAAUACCGGAUAGGAGCUCCUGCUGCAUGGUGGGGGUUGGAAAGUUUCGGCGGUUGGGGAUCGACGCGCGGCUUAUCAGCUUGUUGGUGGGGUAGUGGCUUACCAAGGCUUUGACGGGUAGCCGGCCUGGGAGGGUGACCGGCCACAUGGGGACUGAGAUACGGCCCAGACGCCUACGGGAGGCAGCAGUGGGAAAUAUUGCACAAUGGGGGGAAGCCUGAUGCAGAAACGCUGCGUGCGGGAUGACGGCCUUCGGGUUGUGAACCGCUUUCGCCUGUGACGAAGCGUGAGUGACGGUAAUGGGUAAAGAAGCACCGGCUAACUACGUG
This 468-nucleotide ribosomal RNA is filed under the name uncultured bacterium. Its description in RNAcentral is "partial 16S ribosomal RNA". It matches the Rfam family "Bacterial small subunit ribosomal RNA", at positions 28 to 507 of the family's 1533-position model. The record is from RNAcentral.